This 561-nucleotide ribosomal RNA is filed under the name Pediococcus acidilactici. RNAcentral describes it as "bacterial SSU rRNA". It matches the Rfam family "Bacterial small subunit ribosomal RNA", at positions 8 to 524 of the family's 1533-position model. Lineage: Bacteria; Bacillati; Bacillota; Bacilli; Lactobacillales; Lactobacillaceae. The record is from RNAcentral.
AGAGUUUGAUCCUGGCUCAGGAUGAACGCUGGCGGCGUGCCUAAUACAUGCAAGUCGAACGAACUUCCGUUAAUUGAUUAUGACGUGCUUGCACUGAAUGAGAUUUUAACACGAAGUGAGUGGCGGACGGGUGAGUAACACGUGGGUAACCUGCCCAGAAGCAGGGGAUAACACCUGGAAACAGAUGCUAAUACCGUAUAACAGAGAAAACCGCCUGGUUUUCUUUUAAAAGAUGGCUUUGCUAUCACUUCUGGAUGGACCCGCGGCGCAUUAGCUAGUUGGUGAGGUAACGGCUCACCAAGGCGAUGAUGCGUAGCCGACCUGAGAGGGUAAUCGGCCACAUUGGGACUGAGACACGGCCCAGACUCCUACGGGAGGCAGCAGUAGGGAAUCUUCCACAAUGGACUCAAGUCUGAUGGAGCAACGCCGCGUGAGUGAAGAAGGGUUUCGGCUCGUAAAGCUCUGUUGUUAAAGAAGAACGUGGGUGAGAGUAACUGUUCACCCAGUGACGGUAUUUAACCAGAAAGCCACGGCUAACUACGUGCCAGCAGCGGCGGUAAU